Long non-coding RNA from Cavia porcellus (domestic guinea pig), 1945 nucleotides. RefSeq lists it as uncharacterized. The transcript is spliced from 2 exons. NCBI's taxonomy places the organism in Eukaryota, Metazoa, Chordata, Mammalia, Rodentia, Caviidae. The record is from RefSeq and is a predicted model, not a curated record.
GUCCUCCUCCACUACGGCGGGAAUGGGUAAUGCACAGGUCGCGUUAGGACGGUCAGCCGCAUUAAACAGAAAAGUUUCUCCAACAUGCUUCACUUUGAAAAUGACCCCAAAAUGCAGCUUGAUGUGGGGGUGCACGCCUAUAAUCCCAGCACUCCAGGACGCCGAGGCAGGAAGAUUCCAAGUUGGAGCCAGUUGAGAUUUGGCAAGACUUUGCCUCAAAAUUGUGGGGGGAUCGAACUGAGGACUGCCUGCUUACAAGGCAGGCGCUUAUGCCACUGAACUAAAUCCCCUCAUGGCUCUUAAUUUUUAAGAAAGAAUAUAGUUUGUUAGGUGGUAAAAUAUAGUGAUUAAUAAAAGAAUUUACACACCCAAUUGUUGUAGGAAUUUUUUUCUCUAUGUGCCAUAUACAGAUAUGUAACAUUUCCUAGGAACAUGUUAGAUGAACAGAAAUUUAAAAAUGUGGAAAACGAAGCCAUUCUGGAUUUUUCUGCACAUUUAGUUUUUUUUUUUUUUUUUAAUACCAGGAAUCAGACUCAGGCCCGUGCAUUUGCUAGGCAGGCAGUUAUGCUAACUGAGGUACAUCCCUGGCUACAUUUACUUUAAAUAUAAAAAAUGAACUUUGUGUUAUUUACGUCAUGAAUAUUGUAAAAGUCUACAUAUAAGAACAAUUAUAGUAUUUUCAAGUCCUAUAAAAUUCACUCGUGAAAAUGAAAAUGUAUCCUAACCUUUGAUUUCAGUUUAAAAAUUAUUUCAAAAAUGUCUUUUUUAUUGAACCGUGCAAACUCUGUACACUGAAAUAGUUUAUCAGUGCUUACAUAUCCAUUGAUAAAUAAAACUGACCCUACAAGUGAACUUACACAUGCACUACCUGAAGUUCCCCCAAUGUCAGAGAAUCUACCUGAAAUCAAGGAACAGAGGAGCAAGUCAAAUUUCUGUAUUUUUCUUAGUGCAGAAAUGAACUGUGGCUUUUCCUAUUAUUAAAUUCACAAAAUAGUAUCUUCCAUGACUGCCAUAAAAUCCUUUUGAAUCUACUUCUAAGGUGGUUUUUGAUGAAUUUUAAAAAGAGCUAGGUAAUAAUUUUAAUGGAGGUAAUGAAGUCAAUAAAUUAAUUGCAUGAAUAAGGCAACAUGUUUACCUUAAAAGUUAUAUUGAGCCUCUGAAUAAAAUAAUUUCCUAGAAAGGGAGUAAUCUAUUUGUACCUAGGGUUCAAGUGAGCCAUGUGUUUUCUUUUCUUUUUUUUUUAAAUUUUAUUUAAAAGGAAAAAGAGAAACACACAAAACAAAACAAAGUGGUGUAAGGGUACACGUAGUACAGAACUACAAAAAAAAAAAAAACAGUAAGAAAUCACCUGUUAAUAGAUUACAUAUUAUCAUCUUAGAUAGUUGCUCAAAUCACAGUAUCAAAGAAUACAAAGUGGACAUUCAAACAGUGAGACUGCAAACAGCUGUGUUCAAUGAUCCAAAAACAUUAAUAUAGUCAGCUAUUUAACACCCCUAAACACACUUGCUGUUAUAUCCGUUAGAGCUCUUUUUUUUUUUUUUCCCCUAGAGCCAUGUGUUUUCACUAGGUGAUGUUAGGCUAGCUGUCACCACAGCUGCUGCAAGACAGUAAGAUCGCACAGCCACACUCUACCUGCACCUGCAGGCCAGUGAAGUCGUGACCGAUCACCAAAAAGCAAAUAUUCUCCAACUGAUGGUGGUACGGGCAAGUAAAUAUUGCAUAGGGUUUCAGGAAAAUGUUUGAAACAAGUAUUUUUAAAAUCCUAAAGCAAAACGUAAGUUUCUAGAUUCAGUCAUUCCUAUUGGCUUUCUAAAAAACUAUUCCUAUUUGGCCUUAACCAUAUACAGAAAAAUUCAAGACCACCUAAAGGUUAAAUGAAAAACAUUCAGAGAAUACAUGAAAGUACACACGUGCACAUGACAAACUGAGAGAAUGCAUAUGGGAA